ACGCACGCUGGCGGCGUGCUUCACACAUGCCAGUCGCACGGAAAGGCCCUGCUUUUGUGGGGUGCUCGAGUGGCGAACGGGUGAGUAACACGUGAGUAACCUGCCCUUGACUUUGGGAUAACUUCAGGAAACUGGGGCUAAUACCGGAUAGGAGCUCCUGCUGCAUGGUGGGGGUUGGAAAGUUUCGGCGGUUGGGGAUGGACUCGCGGCUUAUCAGCUUGUUGGUGGGGUAGUGGCUUACCAAGGCUUUGACGGGUAGCCGGCCUGAGAGGGUGACCGGCCACAUUGGGACUGAGAUACGGCCCAGACUCCUACGGGAGGCAGCAGUGGGGAAUAUUGCACAAUGGGCGGAAGCCUGAUGCUGCAACGCCGCGUGCGGGAUGACGGCCUUCGGGUUGUAAACCGCUUUCGCCUGUGACGAAGCGUGAGUGACGGUAAUGGGUAAAGAAGCACCGGCUAACUACGUG
Molecule: ribosomal RNA, 467 nt
Filed under: uncultured bacterium
Lineage: Bacteria
Description: partial 16S ribosomal RNA
Rfam family: Bacterial small subunit ribosomal RNA
Source: RNAcentral